Molecule: long non-coding RNA, 1189 nt
Organism: Hevea brasiliensis (rubber tree)
Lineage: Eukaryota; Viridiplantae; Streptophyta; Magnoliopsida; Malpighiales; Euphorbiaceae
Exons: 3
Source: RefSeq, a predicted model, not a curated record
GGGCGGGUUCUAGACCAGAAAACAAUAUUUGGGCUGGGCUCGAUGUCCCCAGAGUUCAGCCAGUAAUAAGUCUAUGAUUAGAAUUUGAAGCUUAGGUCCAUUUUGUUACUUUCUCAAAUGUUGGCGGUUGUGUACCAAGUUCGUCUUUGCUUUGCAGUCACUUCGAGGAAAUCUUACUAUAGAUGCUCUUUCUCUGAUCCUGGCUCCUAAUUAGCUAGAUAGCUUUCCUUCAGUUAACAAUGGCUCAUGAACUCUAUACUCUGCAAAUACUAGCCUUAAUCUUCUCAAUUGCAACUGUUGUUACUUGUUAGUCCCCUGAGUUUAAGCUAUCCUGUAGUUUUCAACUUUGGUGAUUCAAAUUCAGAUACUGGAGAGGCUACUAUACUUCCAGCAAAUGCAGCUUCCAGGAGUCCGUUUUCAUUUGGAAUUCAGGUGGCUCAGUUUAUCAGAUUCAAGGCUUGGGUCCUUGAAUUACUGGAGAAAGAUGACUUGGAAUUUGGUUUCAGAUAAGAAACUUCGGAAGAUCCUCCCCUUGAACAUUACUUCCUGAAAGGCCUUUGCAUGUUCGAUGGCGUAUUUUACUCGAAUUGAGGGACUAGAAAACGAGGGCGCCAGGUAUUUCAGAAAUCAUAGCAAAGGACCACUUGGCUGCUUACACAGAAUUAUUGCAACAUUUGGGAAAACCUCAUCAAAGCUCGACCAGAUUGGACGUGUUAAUUCAAACACCAGUUGAAGCCAAACUACAUGCUCAUAUACAAGUGCAAAAUCUUAUGGAUACAAUGGCUUUUCAGGUUUCAAACAGCCUUUAGCAGCAUGCUGCAGAUAUGGUGGGCUGCCUUAAAUUACAACAGCCGCAGAUUGCUCACCGGGAAACCAAGAAUUUGAAUUGCAGCACAGUGACUGCAAAUCGCUGCAACAAUACUACUGAAUACGUGAAUUGGGGUGGAAAACAUUAUGGCAAAUGCGAAGAUCACAAAAAUUCAUAAGAAGGUAAUUAAAUUCUGGCUUGGAAGUUGGAAUGAAGUGCCUGAAAGUGUUCUAGGUUCGCAUGGUUGGUUUAGUACUGAGAAGGACAUUUUUCUGUUGAGGAUCUAGGGAACAUCAUACAUUAGAUUUGGUUUAUACUUAUCGCAGAUCAUUGAUUUUAUCCACCUUUCUUAUUGAAUUGUCUUUAUUGAAAAUAUUAUUA